GUCUUAGUAGUUUAUAUAAAACCUUGGUCUUGUAAAUCAAAAAUAAAAAAUUAUUUUCUAAGACU
RNAcentral lists this transfer RNA (65 nucleotides) under Panorpa debilis. Its description in RNAcentral is "tRNA-Thr". The record is from RNAcentral. Lineage: Eukaryota; Metazoa; Arthropoda; Insecta; Mecoptera; Panorpidae.